CUCGGUAGGAACCUCGUUACCGCCUAAACAGUUACCAUCGAGGCCGGAAGUUCCCAUCUGCACCUAUAACCAGUGAAAGAAUCUUAUAAACUUUAAUGCCCUAUAAGUAUGCCUAUGUGUUAUAGUUACUUUUAUAGAUUUACUAUAGAGGUGGAUUCAAUUCCCAAAUUAGGAAAAUGUUUAACUUGUUAAAUAUGAACUGUCAUUUUGUAACAGGAUGAAACCCCGUUCAGCAGGAAUGGAAACCUUGUGUCUGUACAUUUCUGGGAUGAAGUAGCAUUUGGAAAAUGGAUUGUCAAAAUAAAAAGCAAAUAUUCCAAAGCAAAAACCAAAGUGCAUAACGUUUCAUUAACACUUUACGGGACAAGACACGCGAGCUACGUACUAUUGGCUGCUAAAUAUAUGACACAGUGCGGUAAUGAGGAUAUCUAUGGAAACUCGAACGGUCACCAGAAGCAGGCAGCAACUAACGAAGCAAAUGGUGCUAAACCUAAUGUAAAAGAUCAUUCAAAACUGACGGAUAAAGCCGUAUCUGAAAUCAUAUUGAUUUCUGUGUUUGUAGUUGUUUUAAUGAAUGUCAUAUUUUAUAAAUUGUACAAAUAUAAUACUAAUACUAAUUUACAUGUUGACAAAUAUGAUAACUUUGACAGAAAAGCGCAGUCCAAUAUAAUGUUAAUGUCUACCUUUAAGGGACCAACUUUAAACUUGACCGAAGAACAAAAUGACAAUUAUAAUUAAACAAUUUUAUGCCGUG
Mercenaria mercenaria is the source of this 754-nucleotide long non-coding RNA. RefSeq lists it as uncharacterized. The record is from RefSeq and is a predicted model, not a curated record. The transcript has 2 exons. Lineage: Eukaryota; Metazoa; Mollusca; Bivalvia; Venerida; Veneridae.